RNAcentral lists this ribosomal RNA (472 nucleotides) under uncultured bacterium. RNAcentral's name for it is "bacterial SSU rRNA". It matches the Rfam family "Bacterial small subunit ribosomal RNA", at positions 1 to 471 of the family's 1533-position model. The record is from RNAcentral.
GCCCUUGAGUUUGAUCAUGGCUCAGAUUGAACGCUGGCGGCAGGCCUAACACAUGCAAGUCGAGCGGUAGAGAGAAGCUUGCUUCUCUUGAGAGCGGCGGACGGGUGAGUAAUGCCUAGGAAUCUGCCUGGUAGUGGGGGAUAACGUUCGGAAACGGACGCUAAUACCGCAUACGUCCUACGGGAGAAAGCAGGGGACCUUCGGGCCUUGCGCUAUCAGAUGAGCCUAGGUCGGAUUAGCUAGUUGGUGAGGUAAUGGCUCACCAAGGCGACGAUCCGUAACUGGUCUGAGAGGAUGAUCAGUCACACUGGAACUGAGACACGGUCCAGACUCCUACGGGAGGCAGCAGUGGGGAAUAUUGGACAAUGGGCGAAAGCCUGAUCCAGCCAUGCCGCGUGUGUGAAGAAGGUCUUCGGAUUGUAAAGCACUUUAAGUUGGGAGGAAGGGUUGUAGAUUAAUACUCUGCAAUUUG